Molecule: ribosomal RNA, 1074 nt
Filed under: Campula oblonga
Lineage: Eukaryota; Metazoa; Platyhelminthes; Trematoda; Plagiorchiida; Brachycladiidae
Description: SSU rRNA
Rfam family: Eukaryotic small subunit ribosomal RNA
Source: RNAcentral
CAUAUGCUUGUCUCAGAGAUUAAGCCAUGCAUGUCUAAGUACAUACCUUCAAACGGUGAAACCGCGAAUGGCUCAUUAAAUCAGCUAUGGUUCCUUAGAUCGUACAUACUACAUGGAUAACUGUAGUAAUUCUAGAGCUAAUACAUGCCACUAUGCCCUGACCCGCGAGGGGACGGGUGGAUUUAUUAGAACAGAACCAAUCGGUUGUAGCUUCGGCUGCUUCCGUUGCACUCUGUGAUGACUCUGGAUAACUUCACUGAUCGCAGUCGGCCUUGUGUCGGCGACGUAUCUUUCAAAUGUCUGCCCUAUCAAUUUUCGAUGGUAGGUGACCUGCCUACCAUGGUGAUAACGGGUAACGGGGAAUCAGGGUUCGAUUCCGGAGAGGGAGCCUGAGAAAUGGCUACCACUUCCAAGGAAGGCAGCAGGCACGCAAAUUACCCAAUCCCGGCACGGGGAGGUAGUGACGAAAAAUACGGAUACGGGACUCAUCAGAGGCUCCGUAAUUCGAAUGAGUACAAUUCAAAUCCUUUAACGAGGAUCCACUGGAGGGCAAGUCUGGUGCCAGCAGCCGCGGUAACUCCAGCUCCAGAAGCGUAUAUUAAAGUUGUUGCAGUUAAAAAGCUCGUAGUUGGAUCUGGGUCGCAUGGCUACAUGCCGUUGCUUGUAUUCCUGGCUUGGUUACGACUGGGUCGGGUUUGCGAGUCGGUGUCGUGGUUGUGCAGCCUUUCUGCCGUGUCUGUUUCGACAGGUGCUGACUGAAUCGGUGGGCUUGUCUCGCUGGUUUGUUGGCAUGCUUCCGGAUGCCUUUAAACGGGUGUCGGGGGCGGACGGCACGUUUACUUUGAACAAAUUUGAGUGCUCAAAGCAGGCCUGUGUGCCUGAAAAUUCUUGCAUGGAAUAAUGGAAUAGGACUUCGGUUCUAUUUUGUUGGUUUUCGGAUCCGAAGUAAUGGUUAAGAGGGACAGACGGGGGCAUUUGUAUGGCGGUGUUAGAGGUGAAAUUCUUGGAUCGCCGCCAGACAAACUACAGCGAAAGCAUUUGCCAAGGAUGUUUUCAUUGAUCUGGAGCGAAAGU